Molecule: ribosomal RNA, 210 nt
Filed under: uncultured bacterium
Lineage: Bacteria
Description: partial 16S ribosomal RNA
Rfam family: Bacterial small subunit ribosomal RNA
Source: RNAcentral
UUCGGAUUGCAGUCUGCAACUCGACUGCAUGAAGCCGGAAUCGCUAGUAAUCGCGGAUCAGAAUGCCGCGGUGAAUACGUUCCCGGGUCUUGUACACACCGCCCGUCACACCAUGGGAGUCGGAAAUGCCCGAAGCCGGUGGCCUAACCGAUAAGGGAGGAGCCGUCGAAGGCAGGUCUGAUGACUGGGGUGAAGUCGUAACAAGGUAAC